RNAcentral lists this ribosomal RNA (253 nucleotides) under uncultured bacterium. RNAcentral describes it as "partial 16S ribosomal RNA". It matches the Rfam family "Bacterial small subunit ribosomal RNA", at positions 524 to 776 of the family's 1533-position model. The record is from RNAcentral.
UACGUAGGCAGCGAGCGUUGUUCGGAGUUACUGGGCGUAAAGGGUGUGUAGGCGGUUGCUUAAGUUUGGUGUGAAAUCUCCCGGCUCAACUGGGAGGGUGCAUUAGAAACUGGAAUGCUAGAGGAUGGGAGAGGUAAGCGGAAUUCCUGGUGUAGCGGUGAAAUGCGUAGAUAUCAGGAGGAACACCAGUGGCGAAGGCGAUCACCUGGGGUUGUUCUGACGCUGAGGAGCGAAAGCUAGGGGAGCAAACGGG